CCUACGGGAGGCAGCAGUGGGGAAUAUUGCACAAUGGGGGAAACCCUGAUGCAGCGAUGCCGCGUGAGUGAAGAAGUAUUUCGGUAUGUAAAGCUCUGUCAGCAGGGAAGAAAAUGACGGUACCUGAUUAAGAAUCCCCUGCUAACUACGUUCCAGCAGCCGCGGUAAGACGGAGGGGGCAAGCGUUAUCCGUAUUUACUGGGUGUAAAGGGAGCGUAGACGGCAGACCAAGUCUGGAGUGAAAUGCCGGGGCUUAACCCCGGAACUGCUUUGGAAACUGGGCAGCUAGCGUGCCUGAGAGGUAAGUGGAAUUCCGAGUGUAGGGGUGAAAUGCGUAGAUAUCAGGAGGAACACCAGGGGCGAAGGCGGCUUACUGGACUGUAACUGACGUUGAGGCUCGAAAGCGUGGGGAGCAAACAGGAUUAGAUACCCCGGUAGUC
RNAcentral lists this ribosomal RNA (440 nucleotides) under uncultured bacterium. RNAcentral describes it as "partial 16S ribosomal RNA". It matches the Rfam family "Bacterial small subunit ribosomal RNA", at positions 338 to 795 of the family's 1533-position model. The record is from RNAcentral.